UACGCUUCUUAUUUCCCCUGCUUUACAAAAAAACACUCCCAGCCUCUGUCUCUCAAAACUCACGCACAUCACCACCACCAGUCUCACCGCCCCAUCCCACCAGCUACAACGAAGUAUGUUUCAUCCCCAUGAAGAGUUGGCUUGUGUGGAUAUUCUCCACUGUGAUACCAUUAUGCAGGAAAAUGAUUUAAAGUGGAGUAAUGAGUAGCUUAGUGCAAUGUUGGAUUGAUUGGAACAUGAGUUGCAGGAAACGAAUUCUUUCUUUAUUUGUGUUGGAGUACAAACUGAAAAGAGUUACUUGAAAUGUACUCUCACACAAAUGGCUUCAAGUUAACAUGGAACAAUUCAAGGAGAAGCGGAAGAUCUUCUCCUUAUGCACUAGCUCAACGACAUCAUCUUUUCAGGGAGUUCUCCUAACUUUUGCUUUAAUUAUAUAGUUACAUUGAGGACAAUGCAACAUUUUUAGUUGGGGGGAGAUACUUCAUUUUCAUAGAUAUUCUUGUGAUGAGGUGUGAUAGGUCAUGAUGAAUGAUAAUUUGGUAGAUUGACUUUAUUUUUUAUUUUUUUAUAUUAUUAUAAUCUUUUUUAUUUUUUUUAUUUUUUUAUUUUAACGACUAGCUUCUUUAGUUUUUGUUAGGAGUAAAAAUGGUGUUGGGAUGUGGUUUUUUGCCCUUUGGCUAAUUUUUGGCUUGCUUGGUACCAACACAUUUAAACCUUGGCAUAUGAAUUCU
Lycium ferocissimum is the source of this 731-nucleotide long non-coding RNA. RefSeq lists it as uncharacterized. The transcript is spliced from 2 exons. Lineage: Eukaryota; Viridiplantae; Streptophyta; Magnoliopsida; Solanales; Solanaceae. The record is from RefSeq and is a predicted model, not a curated record.